Molecule: long non-coding RNA, 1694 nt
Organism: Neopsephotus bourkii (Bourke's parrot)
Lineage: Eukaryota; Metazoa; Chordata; Aves; Psittaciformes; Psittacidae
Exons: 3
Source: RefSeq, a predicted model, not a curated record
UGCAGGAGUUUGACACUAAUGAUAAAAGUAUCAUUGCAUUAGUGUGGAGAGAGCAUCUGGGCAGAUGCAGAUGUAUCAUACCAAAAUGAUUAAAUGGUACCACUUAGAGCAGAGGUAGUUUAUAUUGGGGGUGAUAUCCAAGUAGGACCAAUAUACUACACUUGCCAUUUGGUACCUUUUCUACAGGUAGGCUGCUUCUGCUCUAAUUGUUAAUGCUUUAUCUGUAGCUGAAGACUGCAGUACUCAGCUGUGAAAGCACCUGGGAUGCUGACAGCCAGAGCACAAAGCUAAGCCCACUUGACUAAUCUUGAUGUGGUGCAUUUCUGUUUCUGAAAGGUUGCCUUGAUAUUUUCCUGGCUCUGGUGUUUUCAUGUUUUGUUUUUUUUUUUUUUUGUGAUGCUUUCCCUUAUAUCAUGGAGGUAAAUUAACUGUUGUUCCGGUUAAACAUGCAUUUUUGCUUGGGGCCAGACAGCUUGUGCUUGCACAAAGGAGACAUGCUAGGUGGUUGAGAAUUUCUAGGAAUAAGUAGUCAGUCUGGAUUUUUAUUGCAAAAGCUUAAGUUUCUUUUAAUUGAGUGUUCAUUUCAGAAUGAAUUACUUAGAACUCUAAGCUUCCUGACUUACUUGAUUUCCAUCCCUUAUUACUGCCAUACCCUGUUUUCCCUGUCAUUUACUAAUUCAAAGCAAGACCCCCUUAAUAGUUGGAAAACCUCCUGCAACAUCAGAAAAAAAAAAAAAAAAGAGGAGUGGAACAAGAUUUAGGUGAGUUAAUUUUGAAGUAUUUGUUGUAUAGAGAAUACAGGAGAACAUGUUCAGGCUUGAAUUAGGUACGUGCUUUAUCUCCCAAAGAACAGCUCAGAAUAUUUUAUGGAGUUUUCCAGAAGUUCUUUCAAAUUAGGUGUCUCUACAGUACUUUAGUGAAUUUUGAAAAUUGCUCUGCACAUCAGUGAAUUUUCCUUUUUCCUUUUGUACUUAAUCCCUCCAGUCUUUUGUGAUAGCCCAGCCCUGCUUGCUAUGUUGGAGAGACACUAUCAAAAUCCCCUUAAAUGCCAGAGCCAUUGGAUAAAGGGAUAAAGAGACAGCAACUUGCAGAGAUGCCCUAUUGCUGCUGUUUAAAAGCAAGAAGUACUGAAUGGUAACCAAAUGACUGUGGUCAAAUACACAGAGUUAUUUCUAUAGAGCAGGACUUUCAAAAGUACCAGACUGAACAUCAUACUUAGAACUAUGCAGCACUGAUACAGCAACAAAUUAAUGAGGACAAACAAAACUUGACAGAAAAGACUGUAUAUGGAAUCCAGCUCACAGAAGAAAAACUUAAUGACUUCCGUGAUGAACAAAUUGGGCAGCUGAAGGAACUGAUGGACGAAGCUACCAAACCUCAGAAAAAAAACGUUUCUAAAGACUCGGAACACAAAACCUAAAGGGUUUUAAAAGUUGUUUUAAUGCAUAUGGAAGCAUUUUGAAACUUCCUUUCCAGUUGAACUUGAAUGGGGUUUCUUUGGAAUAAUGGGCAGUGCUGCUGCCGUGACUUGUCUGAAUCAGAUGUGUCUGGCUGUUAGGGCUUCUAUGCAAGAAUAAAUGUUAAAAUGGAAUAAUCACAAUAAUUUUAUGUUAAUUGCAGGGGUUUUUUCUCCUAAUGGAAGGUGGAGACAUGAAGAUUUCAAUAAAAGUAAAUUGACAUAUUUGAAAUAGAAA